CAAAACUCAUUAUUAGAUGUCGCCAGGGUCACCGAUGUUGUUCUUUCAUGGUGAAACGAGGCGAAAUGAGCGAAACAAAUUGUUGCUAAUUUAUACUUAUUCCUGUGAUUUCAAAUACCAAUUUAACUUCGUAUCUUAAUAUAUGCAUACUGUCAGUUCCAACAAGUUGACUUAGUGCUCAGUCAAUUUCCAUCCAUUAGAUCCUCAUGCUGUCAAAAGCCUAAAACUCAUGUUUGAAGAGCACAUAUAGUGGAAUAUAAAUGUGCCGAGAUAAGGAUCUUUUCUGAAUCUCGCAAUUUUGGUGGCGUACCCUGUAACAGCAUGUUUGUUGUUAUGGCUGUUUUUAUUUUGGUUUAGAAGGCAACCCAGCUAAGAGAUAGAGCAAGCAGUUUCUUUGUGGAAUCGUGUGGUCCUAGCACGGAUAUUCUUGAGCCACGUUACGCUGGCUUUCGUCCAUGACCAUUGACCAACGUUCUGCUCCAUCCUUAUCUUCCCGACGUAAGCUCAUCCAGAUUCUGCUUCAUCGCUUCGUACACCAAAAGACAACUUGUCAUACUUCACUAACGAGUUGGAACACUUCAGUGCAUCAGUGGUCGCUUCCGUGCCGCUGUUACACAUUUGCAGUCACUCACCACGGGAUUAUGCCCAGGUAACGCAGAAGAUG
Molecule: long non-coding RNA, 664 nt
Organism: Daphnia pulicaria
Lineage: Eukaryota; Metazoa; Arthropoda; Branchiopoda; Diplostraca; Daphniidae
Exons: 5
Source: RefSeq, a predicted model, not a curated record